CCAGCACCCCGAGUUGUCGGGACGAUUAUUGGGCCUAAAGCAUCCGUAGCCUGUUCUGCAAGUCCUCCGUUAAAUCCACCUGCUCAACGGGUGGGCUGCGGAGGAUACCGCAGAGCUAGGAGGCGGGAGAGGCAAACGGUACUCAGUAGGUAGGGGUAAAAUCCAUUGAUCUACUGAAGACCACCAGUGGCGAAGGCGGUUUGCCAGAACGCGCUCGACGGUGAGGGAUGAAAGCUGGGGGAGCAAACCGGAUUAGAUACCCGGGUAGUCCCAGCUGUAAACGAUGCAGACUCGGUGAUGGGUUGGCCUUGAGCCAACCCAGUGCCGCAGGGAAGCCGUUAAGUCUGCCGCCUGGGGAGUACGGUCGCAAGACUG
RNAcentral lists this ribosomal RNA (375 nucleotides) under uncultured organism. RNAcentral describes it as "bacterial SSU rRNA". It matches the Rfam family "Archaeal small subunit ribosomal RNA", at positions 476 to 851 of the family's 1478-position model. The record is from RNAcentral.